CUAAGAUUCAAUCCCAGGCCCUCUAUAAGAGCAGUGUCCUUAACCACCAAGCCACCUCCCCAGCCCCAAGCAUUCCUUGUGUGACUAUCACUACUCACCAGUUCUUCUGUUCAUGAGUAUUUGGUCAUCUUCAAUUCGAGGGCUAUUAUAGGCCGGGCUGGGAGCUUUCUCAUACUUCACUUUGGUAUGUAUACAUUUACUACUGUUGUUACUUUAGUUACAGGAAGAGUCCACAGUCACUAACAUCUCUGUCUCAGUUCUUCUGGGAUGCAGUAACAAAGAGAAACACACUAGGCAGCUUAUAUAACAUGGGCACUACUUUCUCUCUAUUCUGUAAAGUGAUUCUAUCCAAAAUUCGGCCUUUCUGUGCACUCUAUUAUUUAGCCUUCUGACUUCAUUUUUCUUCAUCUUACAGAUGAGGCAACUGAGACACAGAGAGCUCAAGCAUCCCACUCAAAACUACAUGAGCCUGGGUGGUUCAGCAGAUAAGGUGUUUUUGUUCCAAGGUCCUGACAACCUGACUUGGAUCUCUGGAACCCACCUACGGGAAGGAGAGAACUGGCUUCCACAAGUUGUCCUCUGAUCUCCAUUCACCUGUACACGUAUAUACAUGUGAAAAGAAUAAAUAGAUAAAUAAAUACAAUAAUAAUAAGAAAAUCCCCUCACAGGUACAGCAGGAGGAGCUACAGUGGAGCCCAAAGGAUCUGGGAGCAGAGACUGAGCUCUUUGUCACUUACAAUGUCUCCCAUUCCCAACUUCCCCAGUGCUGGGGAAGAGAACCUAGAAAUUGUCUAAGUGAAAAAGUCAUCCCCGACACCGACUGACUUCUAGCUGCAAACCUAAUCAUUCACUGAGAUUCUAUAAUAUGUCUUCUCAUUUUCCCUCAAAUCUAGACUUAAAUUAUUCAUGUCCAUCCUGAAUGUGUUAUCAUUUCCUGAAUGAUCUACUGUGUCUCUCUGCAUCCUUCAGAGCACAGCUGGAACUGUAAUUCAGGUUGCAAAAACAACCUUAAUUCUUUUUUACUUUUUUUCCCCCAAAACGGAGUCUCGCUAUGCAGCCUUAGCUGGUCUGGAACUUGCCGUGUAGAACAGGCAGGUCUUAAAUUCACAGGGAUCUCCUCUGUCUCUCCAGUGAUGGGAUUAAAUAUGUGACUACCACAACUGGUUCCAAUCUCAAUUUGCUAAUUUGAAACUAAACCUUGGCAUUGUUUGGGGACGAAGUUGAGACGGGAACACAAGUCGUGAUACCUUGCAGGAGCAAUGAGGACCUCAGACCCUCUGCUCUGCCUCAACCCAUUGCAGCAGGCUGUAGUAAUACAGAUGAACAGAAGGGGGCAGCAUGCUGCUGGGCUAAAACUGCAACGCAGGGAUAGAAGUAUUCAGGAAACUUCUGAACAUUGGGCUUCCCCGUAAUAUCUGCUGAGCUUCUGUUGGAGAGUAACUGUCUGUGCUCCCCAGCCCCAGUCCCCUGAGGCCAGGGACUAUGUCAUCACCUUUAUGCAUCAGUAGUUUGCAAUGGUGUAUCCUAGUGAGGCUGGACUAAACUGCACCAAGGCCAGAAGGUGACCUGUCUGGUGGAGAAAGUGGAGUACUGAAAUCCCUGAUAUUCCUGAUUUGGGGUUAAUCUGGGUCCUGAAGUCUACCUGCAUGCUUUGUACAGAUUUGGAGGCACCAGAGUUUAGAACAUUGCCUCUUGGUUGUACGUAGCCAUCUCUUUGACCACCCAGUGGGUGGUGCUCUUUGGGGAGGCUGUGGAACCUUAGAGGGUGGAGCCUGCCUUGCUGGAGGAAGUGCAUCCUAACUGCCUGGAAGCCAGUCUAGUACUAGCAGCCAUCAGAUGAAGAUGUAGAACUCUCAGCUCCUCCUGCACCAUGCCUGCCUGGAUGCUGCCAUGCUCCCACCUUGAUGAUAAUGGACUGAACCUCUGAACCUGUAAGCCAGCCCCAAUUAAAUGGUGUCCUUUAUAAGACUUGCCUCAGUCAUGGUGCCUGAUCACAGCAGUAAACCCUAACUAAGACACCAUCAUUUCAUUCAGCAGUAUGUUUGUGCUUUCUUGGACAUUUACCAGGAAUUUAUCCCUCUCCUCUUUAAGGUCAUUCAAUAGUUCAUGUUCUCUGUACAAUUCUUGAAUUCUUUUAUCAUGUUUACAAUUUUUCUCUUAAAUUCUCUGUCUUGGAGUUCAUCUAGACAAUUCUAAUUGAAGAACAAUUUUACUUUGGGGGGGUUGGUAGUGGUGAGGGACAUAUUGUCAUAGUUUUUCAUAUUGUGUUUUGUGUGAUGUGACCUGAGCAUAUAGCUUGCUUUAUUGACUAUAUGUCUGUAUGUCUAUAUGUUUGAAAUGACAAUCUAACGGUCUCUGUUGAGUGGAAAUUUUGCCAAUUUUCAAACUUGGUUGAUUUUAGAUUAGAAAUGAAGAGUUUGUAGGUCAAUCCUUUGGGUAUUCAGUGUUAAUUUUUGAUUGGAGAUACUGGGUUGAUUCCAAUUUCAUGGGAACUGAAGAGCCUGCAAAUGGGCUCAAACUGAGCAUAAAAGGGCACUGUGCAUCCACGGAUCCGGGACAGACUCACUGAUUGAGAGUGAGUUCAACUCCCUACUGGACCUGGGCAAGAAGGGGUGGUACUGAACAGACUCAUGAUGAGAGCAUGUGUGGGUGCCAUCUGGGAAUGGAGGGAUGCAGGCAAAGGUCUGGGAUGGCUAUUGCAGGGAGUAUGCACAGAGGUUGGACUCCUGGUUGGGUCUGGGCAUAGGGGUGGCAAGGAAACAGGUCUAAGGAACUCAC
Long non-coding RNA from Rattus norvegicus (Norway rat), 2778 nucleotides. NCBI's taxonomy places the organism in Eukaryota, Metazoa, Chordata, Mammalia, Rodentia, Muridae. The record is from Ensembl.